UACGAAGGCAGCAGGGGGGAAUAUUGCACAAUGGGCGCAAGCCUGAUGCAGCCAUGCCGCGUGUAUGAAGAAGGCCUUCGGGUUGUAAAGUACUUUCAGUCGUGAGGAAGGUGUUAAGGUUAAUAACCUUAGCAAUUGACGUUAGCGACAGAAGAAGCACCGGCUAACUCCGUGCCAGCAGCCGCGGUAAUACGGAGGGUGCGAGCGUUAAUCGGAAUUACUGGGCGUAAAGGGCACGCAGGCGGUUAAUUAAGUUGGAUGUGAAAUCCCCGGGCUUAACCUGGGAAUGGCAUUCAAGACUGGUUAGCUAGAGUCUUGUAGAGGGGGUAGAAUUCCAUGUGUAGCGGUGAAAUGCGUAGAGAUGUGGAGGAAUACCGGUGGCGAAGGCGGCCCCUGGACAAAGACUGACGCUCAUGUGCGAAAGCGUGGGGAGCAAACAGGGAUUAGAUACC
This 452-nucleotide ribosomal RNA is filed under the name uncultured bacterium. Its description in RNAcentral is "bacterial SSU rRNA". It matches the Rfam family "Bacterial small subunit ribosomal RNA", at positions 340 to 786 of the family's 1533-position model. The record is from RNAcentral.